RNAcentral lists this unclassified non-coding RNA (747 nucleotides) under Hevea brasiliensis (rubber tree). Lineage: Eukaryota; Viridiplantae; Streptophyta; Magnoliopsida; Malpighiales; Euphorbiaceae. The record is from RNAcentral.
GGAGGCCCCCCUUAAAAAUCAUUUCUUAGUGCUUUUCUCAUUGGUUUCUGGUGGAGAUGUUGUUCUUUUAAGAAUUCCUGUUGCAGGAGCAGAGGACAAGUGGUUUGGAACCAAAUAAUUAAGGGGGAGCCUCAUGAUUGGGAAAUUGUUUAUGAAUUUAGGAAAAAGGCUUUGUGAGUUCUCUGCAGGUACAAGAAUGGAUGAUAAAGUUCAACUGUUGUUGAGAAGAGUGAGGAAUUUAGUGUGAAAUCUUGUAAUGAUAGGCUGUUGGAAUGGGAGCAGAAACAAGGAAGAUGAAAUCCCCUGUAGAGAGGUUUUGUUAUUGGGAAGCUUUGCAGGAAAAAAUUCUAGCAAUGGACAAGGUGAAUCCUGAAAUGAAGUCAUUUACUUCAUUGUGAAUAAGUGAGUACUCUUUGUUUUUUGUAACCAAUGGAACAAUGCAGAGAAUGUGGAGAUGUAAUGAGAAAUACUUGGAAGGUUUUUAUUGUGGAGGCAAACGGGAAAGAAACACAGGAUGCCAUUCCAUUGGCUAUUUUUUCAAUGACUUGGACAGCAGAAUUUGCAGACUUUUGAAGAUAUAGAACCUUCAUUGGAUGAGUGUAAAGAUUGAUUAUUUCAUUUUCAUUUUCUGGGGACUAGGUCAUUAGCCGUGAAUUGCAAUCCUUUUGUAAAUUUUGGAUUGCUGUUUCUGUGCAGUUCUUAAAAGGGUAAUCUCCAAGAUUUUGUUGUGUGUGUGUGUGUGUGUGU